GAUGAAGAACGUAGUGAAAUGCGAUAAGUAAUGUGAAUUGCAGAAUUCAGUGAAUCAUCGAAUCUUUGAACGCACAUUGCGCCCGCCAGUAUUCUGGCGGGCAUGCCUGUUCGAGCGUCAUUUCAACCAUCAAGCCCCCGGCUUGUGUUGGGGACCUGCGGCUGCCGCAGGCCCUGAAAACCAGUGGCGGGCUCGCUAGUCACUCCGAGCGUAGUAAUACAUCUCGCUCAGGGCGUGCUGCGGGUUCCGGCCGUUAAAAGCCUUAUUUACCCAAGGUUGACCUCGGAUCAGGUAGGAAGACCCGCUGAACUUAAGCAUAUCAAUAAGCGGAGGA
This 334-nucleotide unclassified non-coding RNA is filed under the name soil metagenome. Its description in RNAcentral is "partial contains 5.8S ribosomal RNA, internal transcribed spacer 2, and large subunit ribosomal RNA". The stretch from base 1 to 120 matches the Rfam family "5.8S ribosomal RNA", at positions 35 to 154 of the family's 154-position model. The record is from RNAcentral.